UACGUAGGUGGCAAGCGUUGUCCGGAAUUAUUGGGCGUAAAGCGCGCGCAGGCGGUCCUUUAAGUCUGAUGUGAAAGCCCACGGCUCAACCGUGGAGGGUCAUUGGAAACUGGAGGACUUGAGUACAGAAGAGGAAAGUGGAAUUCCACGUGUAGCGGUGAAAUGCGUAGAGAUGUGGAGGAACACCAGUGGCGAAGGCGACUUUCUGGUCUGUAACUGACGCUGAGGCGCGAAAGCGUGGGGAGCAAACAGG
RNAcentral lists this ribosomal RNA (253 nucleotides) under uncultured bacterium. RNAcentral describes it as "partial 16S ribosomal RNA". It matches the Rfam family "Bacterial small subunit ribosomal RNA", at positions 524 to 776 of the family's 1533-position model. The record is from RNAcentral. RNAcentral also lists the same sequence under 1 other name.